GAGUUUGAUCGUGGCUCAGAACGAACGCUGGCGGCAUGCCUAACACAUGCGAGUCGAACGCUUAUCUUCGGAUAGGAGUGGCGCACGGGUGAGUAACGCGUGGGAACCUGCCCUGGGGUGGGGGAUAACCGAUGGAAACGUCGGCUAAUACCGCAUACGUCCUGAGGGAGAAAGAUUUAUCGCCCUGGGAGGGGCCCGCGUCGGAUUAGCUAGUUGGUGGGGUAAUGGCCUACCAAGGCGAUGAUCCGUAGCUGGUCUGAGAGGAUGAUCAGCCACACUGGGACUGAGACACGGCCCAGACUCCUACGGGAGGCAGCAGUGGGGAAUAUUGGACAAUGGGCGCAAGCCUGAUCCAGCAAUGCCGCGUGAGUGAUGAAGGCCUUAGGGUUGUAAAGCUCUUUCGGCGGGGACGAUGAUGACGGUACCCGCAGAAGAAGCCCCGGCUAACUUCGUGCCAGCCGCCGCCGUAAU
This 471-nucleotide ribosomal RNA is filed under the name uncultured bacterium. Its description in RNAcentral is "bacterial SSU rRNA". It matches the Rfam family "Bacterial small subunit ribosomal RNA", at positions 9 to 524 of the family's 1533-position model. The record is from RNAcentral.